UACGAAGGGUGCAAGCGUUGUUCGGAUUUAUUGGGCGUAAAGCGCGCGCAGGCGGGUGGAUAAGUCAGAUGUGAAAUCUCGGGGCUCAACCCCGAAACUGCGUCUGAAACUAUUUACCUAGAAUAAUGGAGAGGGAAGGGGAAUUUCGCAUGUAGGGGUAAAAUCCGUAGAGAUGCGAAGGAACACCAGAGGCGAAGGCG
RNAcentral lists this ribosomal RNA (200 nucleotides) under uncultured bacterium. RNAcentral describes it as "partial 16S ribosomal RNA". It matches the Rfam family "Bacterial small subunit ribosomal RNA", at positions 524 to 723 of the family's 1533-position model. The record is from RNAcentral.